GGUGAGUGGAGUUGCUUUGCCUUGGAUGACAGGCGCGAGAAAAGUUGGAACGGUGUAAACUCUUUACAUGCAGCGUCGCUCCUCAAAAACAUAUGCUCUCCAUCGAGCUUCUAGUUUUCGGAGUUGAGACUGGGGAAAGUUGAGAUGGGAGCUGUGUUGGUCGGUGUAUUUUCCGCAAAAGAGGUAUCACUUUUUAAAAGUAUAAUCUCUUCAAACCUUUUUAACUUUUGGAGUUGAGACGGGACAUUCAAGCUGAAAUGGGAAUUAGCAUUCGAUUGGUCCUGAUAUUCAAAGCUUGUUUCGUACGUCCAUUCAAAUCAGGUCCACCACUUGGGUAGACCUUAGGAACUUCCAAAGUGCAAUGGAAGUUGCUUCCCUAGGCCAUGGGCCUCAAUGAUCACCCAUUGACCCCAUCCAGUUUCCGGCCCGGUGAGUGGAGUUGCUUUGCCUAGGAUGACAGGCGCGAGAAAAGUUGGAACGGUGUAAACUCUUUACAGGCAGCGUCGCUCCUCAAAAACAUAUGCUCUCCAUCGAGCUUCUAGUUUUCGGAGUUGAGACUGGGGAAAGUUGAGAAGGGAGCUGUGUUGGUCGGUUCUUUUUCCGCAAAAGAGGUAUCACUUUUUAAAAGUAUAAUCUCUUCAAACCUUUUUAACUUUUGGAGUUGAGACGGGACAUUCAAGCUGAAAUGGGAAUUAGCAUUCGAUUGGUCCUGAUAUUCAAAGUUUGUUUCGUACGUCCAUUCAAAUCAGGUCCACCACUUGGGUAGACCUUAGGAACUUCCAAAGUGCAAUGGAAGUUGCUUCCCUAGGCCAUGGGCCUCAAUGAUCACCCAUUGACCCCAUCCAG
Long non-coding RNA from Daucus carota subsp. sativus, 846 nucleotides. RefSeq lists it as uncharacterized. NCBI's taxonomy places the organism in Eukaryota, Viridiplantae, Streptophyta, Magnoliopsida, Apiales, Apiaceae. The transcript is spliced from 6 exons. The record is from RefSeq and is a predicted model, not a curated record.